Molecule: long non-coding RNA, 385 nt
Organism: Rana temporaria (common frog)
Lineage: Eukaryota; Metazoa; Chordata; Amphibia; Anura; Ranidae
Exons: 3
Source: RefSeq, a predicted model, not a curated record
UAGCCCAGAGGUGUCCCUUUUUUUUUAUUUUAGCUGGAAGAAUCUUCCUGCUGAAGACUGAGGAGGAGAUUUCUGUGUCCUGAGACAACGAAAUACAAAUAGGAAACGCCUCAAAUCUGAUCACCUGACAAAGGAUGGGGGAGGAGCCGAGUCACACGACAGAGAGGAUACUAAACCUCGCCCUGGAGAUCAUCUACCUGCUGACCGGAGAGGAAUGCAUUAUAGUGAAGAAGGCAACUGAUGGUCACCUGACUUGUGUGCCACAACAUUGGAGCAGGAAACUGAGCCCCAUGACAGAGCCUUCCACUUAUUUCCUUAUAUCUGAUAUAAACAAUGACCAGAAGAUUCUAGAAGUCACCCAGAAGAUCAUAGAGUUGCUGACAGG